GGAGCAGUGGUAGCUCGUCGUGCCCGUUUGCCCUGCCAUCUCCUUGUCGGCGUCUUCAUUCCAAACGCUCUCGAACGGCGGAUGCCGGUGAAACUACAUUGUUACGGACAACCAGGUCGUCGGUUCAAAUCCGACCCGGGCCACCA
This 146-nucleotide transfer RNA is filed under the name Luteolibacter ambystomatis. Its description in RNAcentral is "Luteolibacter sp. 32A tRNA-OTHER". The record is from RNAcentral. Lineage: Bacteria; Pseudomonadati; Verrucomicrobiota; Verrucomicrobiia; Verrucomicrobiales; Verrucomicrobiaceae.